AUAUCUCUCUGUACGGGAAGGAUGAGAAGCUUCGACUAAGGUUCGAUUCGAGCGCAGCGAGAAAGCGU
RNAcentral lists this small RNA (68 nucleotides) under Salmonella enterica. RNAcentral describes it as "partial RtT sRNA". It matches the Rfam family "RtT RNA", at positions 1 to 68 of the family's 130-position model. Rfam says of the family: This family represents a bacterial cis-regulatory element known as RtT RNA. The exact function of RtT is unknown although it is thought that it may be involved in changing the cellular response in relation to amino acid starvation. RNAcentral also lists the same sequence under 1 other name. Lineage: Bacteria; Pseudomonadati; Pseudomonadota; Gammaproteobacteria; Enterobacterales; Enterobacteriaceae. The record is from RNAcentral.